RNAcentral lists this unclassified non-coding RNA (241 nucleotides) under Hevea brasiliensis (rubber tree). The record is from RNAcentral. Lineage: Eukaryota; Viridiplantae; Streptophyta; Magnoliopsida; Malpighiales; Euphorbiaceae.
AAAAAAAAAAAAAAAAAACUAUUACAAUUCUUUUGAAUGUUAGUUGAAGAAACACCUGCAAAAACCCAAAAGGCAGAGCAUCAUAAGAAAAGCGGAAAACACUACCCUAUCUUGGUGCACAGAAAUAUCCAUGCAUUAUUUUACAACAUGAUGGCGAACCUGGUGUCUAUAGAGCCAAACGUCGAAAAAGAAUUCAUAUAGCUGACCUCAACUAGUAUGGAUUAAGGCUUAGUUGUUGUUG